This 12587-nucleotide long non-coding RNA is filed under the name Homo sapiens (human). RNAcentral describes it as "non-protein coding LINC02015:27". The record is from RNAcentral. Lineage: Eukaryota; Metazoa; Chordata; Mammalia; Primates; Hominidae.
ACAAAGUUUAUAUUAGAGCGUCAUCCAUUAAUGCUUUGGCUAGGAGGGACUUUCUUGAUGCACUUGAUAUGGAUUAUAUAAAUCUAUGGACAAAAAUGACAUCAGUACAAUGGAAUAUUGGAGUUUUCUACCAUAAUCUCUGCAUAGUGCACUGAUUUUGACAAUCACCUAUGGAUGAAAAUACAUUUGCCAGAGUCUAGGAGUUAAAUGGAAAAGUUAACAGCACACCGUUGGAGAAAAAUAUCUGGGAGUAGAUGCAUUCAAGGGAGUAAGAAGAACAAUUACCUGCAUCACCUCACCCCCAGGGUCCACUUCUUAGUGCCAAGAUAGACUCCCUUCAGCAGGCAAUUUCUCCCAUGGGGAAAAGGAGAGUAUAAUGAGUGAGUAUCCAGCUUUUCCAGCUGUGUGAGGCACAUCCCAAGAAGCCCAUCUUUCUUUCACUCAACUCAGAAUAUUGAGGGUAUUAGCAUGGCUAAGUGGCUGGGACAGGGCAGUAGCAGGAAAGAAAGGAGAGGACUCACAGCAACCAGGACUUGAAACUCAGUACAGGGUACAUAUCCUUUGAAGCAUUUCACAGAGCCCAUCAGGAGGCCCACCCAUGAACCACUUGGGACACCAUAUCUGUAGCAUCUCCCUGCAACUGGCCCAUAGGAGCCCCCGAUGUUUUGUGCAUAUUCCCCUUCCCUUUCUCCUAUAGUCAGUUGCCUGCACAUGCACUCCAGAUGGUGAGUGUGAGCAUUUACCUACAGCUUUUGAGUACAUGCAGUCAGCAGGCUCAACUUUGAAGGAUUGGGAGGAAUACAAAAUUGAGCAUUUCAGGGCACUGUCCUAGAGGAAACAAACAGAAAGCUUUCAGGACCCAGUUUGGUUUUGUGGAUUUAAGAGAAGACACACAAUCAUCAGAAUUUCUUCUCCACCCAUCCAAGAAGUGUGGAUUGGGUGAAUCCAUAGAAAAGAUCUGAGAGAGCCUCAGAUUCCCUAUAGGCUCACUGUUGAAGAUAUUUCUCUCAAAUCCAGUCAGUAAAGACUAGAGAAAGUGACUCUUUCUUCAAAUGUGAAGACAGCAGUGCAAGACUUUGAGGAACAUGAAAAAUCAAGGACACCUAGUACCACCAAAGGAACAUAAUUUUCUGGUACCCAACCACAAAGAAAUGGAGAUACACAAAUUGUCUGACAAAGAAUUCACAACAAUUGUUUUAAGGAAGUCAGUAAGCUACAAGAGAACACAGAGAACUUAAUGAUAUUAAGAAAGCGACACAUGAACAAAAUAAGAUGUUCAACAAAAAGAUAGAAAUUAUUAAAAACAACCAUGAUUUUCGAGCUGAGAAUACAAUGAAUGAAAUGGAAAACACAAUAGAGUUUCAAUAGCAGACUUGAUCAAGCAGAAGAAAGGGUCUGUCAACUCAAAUACUAGUCAUUUGAAAUUAUUCAGUAAAAGAAAUAAAAAGGAAUGAAAAAUGCUUAUGCGAUUGAUGCAACACCAUGAAGAGUAGUCAUAUAUGCACUAUGGGAGUCUCAGAAAAAGAAAGAGAUAAAGGGGAAGAAAACUAACUUAAAGAACUAGAUCAGUCUCUCCUUAUCUGUAGUUUUGCUUUCCUUGGUUUCAGGUACAGUACAAUGAUAUGUUUUAAGAGACAGACAAUGAAAGAGAACAUGCAAAUAUUGACAUAAUUUUUAUUACAGUAUAUUGUCAUAGUUUUUCUAUUUUGUUAUUAGUUGUUAUUCUCUUACUGUGCCUAAUUUAUACAUUAAACUUUAUCAUAGGAAUAGUGGUGGUGGCCUGUCUGGAGUGGCCACUGCCAGGAUGCCAGCUGCAGCAGGGGAGGUGUAGCUGGGGCUGUGCACUCCGCAGAGCUGGGGGGGGCCAGGAACAGGUGAUCCUAGUGGGAGCCCUAUAUGCUACUGAGUUAGUGGGGUGGGAGCCUGUGCUCCCAGGCAUAGCUGCAGCUGCCCAGCCAUGGCUCCAGCCCUAGGCAUACCUGUGCUCUCAGGGGCCCUGGAAGUCCCCUGCCCUUACAGGCUUGGAAGUGCCUGCUCCCAUUCCCUGGCCUCUUUCCACUGCUGGCACCUGCUCUGUGGCAGAGCAAAGUUGUGGAUGUGUUGUGAUAGCUGAGCCUGGGAGCUGUUGUGACGUGGUCAGGUGUGUGUGUUCAGGGCAGUUCUGAUACACCAGACUCCCCACUGCCUUUGCCCCCUCUGGAAACUGCUUCUGAGGCUGAAACUUUGGAUAUUAAUGAGCAAGGAUGGUGGGGGAGGCCAGGACGGCUGAGGGCAGCUAGGUGUGGGCCUGUGGACACCCCUUAGUGCGGACAGUCUGGGUGCUGUGGAUGGCAUGUUGAUGGCAGCGAGAGGCAGACAUGUUCCUAGGUGGGAACGGGUGGGUCCCUGGUGAAACCUCACCUUCAAGCCAGGGACAGCUUGAAGCAUGGGGGCCUGGCUGCCAGUUCCGGUUGCAGUCUGUGACCUGGAGUGAAAACUUCAUUGAUGUCUUUCAGCCAAUUGGAUGGUGCUUUUUCCAGACCCACAAAUGGCUGCCCAUGGACCAAGCAGUAUGUACUUCCUCCAUUCUGAGCCCAUGAAAACCCCAGACUCAGUCAGACUCUGACACUCAUCAGGAUGACAAGCCUGCAAAUAGGAUCUACCCAUUUUGGGUAUGCACUCCACUGAGAGCUAUUCUGUCACUCAAUAAAGCUCCUUUCUGCCUUGCUCACCCUCCAGUUAUUCACAUAACCUCAUUCUUCCUGGAUGUGGGACAAGAACUCAGGACCUGCUGAAUGGUGGGAGGGAAAGAAGCUGUAACAUGUUCCUGGCCAGCUCACCAAGCUGCAGGUGGUGACAUACUCCUGGACUAUGGGAGUGAAGAGUAGUGACCCUUCUGGGGGCCCAGACCUUGAGAUUCUCCGAGCCAGAGCUGCAGUAACACUAUAGCUCUCCUGCCCUCUGCUGGUGCUGGGUGGCCCCCCAAUGCAACAGGACGCAGCAGCAGGCCUGGGCCAGCCCAGGAGCUGGGAGCCUGAGUGGGGUGGUGGAACUGAAAGGGCUAUAACACAAACCAACCAAAACAUGCCCCACUCACUUGCUGCACUGUGGGUGAGGAGAAGGAGAAAAGAGCUGCAGCCCUUCUAGGAAGCCAGACUUUGGGGCUCCCUGAACUAGGGCUGUGACAUGCUGUAACACCUUCUUUAGGAUUCUGCACUUCCUGGCCUCUCUGAGAUUUUGGAUGCCACCGUGUUCCCUUUGUCCAGAUGCUGGUGUCCGCAGCAGAAGCCACUUGUGAUAUAUCUGGUCCAGCUGCAGCUUCACAUGGAUGAGGUGCCUGUGCCGGUGCCUGUGCCAGUGCCUGGAGCUGCCCGCCCCACCACAGCAGCUAGCAUGCCUGGCUGUGUGCAGUGCCAGAUCCCACACUUGCUCACUCACACACACCUCACCGCUCCAUGCCUGGCUUGCCCUUGGAAGGAGUACGAUCCAGGCCGGUAGCAUGAGCCAAGUGCAGCCUGCCAGCCUGAGUGGACAGAACAAGCCCAGGGGGCAUGAACAAAACUCAAGCAGAAGCACUGCUGUCCACAGAGGUUUCUGGCUGGCAAAGCAACACCCUAAGGAUCCUAUGACAAUAGGUUUGCUUUCCAUAUGCUGGAUGAUGUGUGUGGAUUUUCAGUGUGUGUUUCAGAGUCUUAAAAGCUCAUGCUAGCUUGCUUAACAUACCUGCCAUAACUCAUGAUAUAGAACCCUAUGGAGAACUGUGUUGCAACAUGGAUGCAGUGCCUAUACUAAGGCACAUUGCCAAGCUGAAGACUGUCAGAGAGCAUCACUAACGGAGGGUUGUUUCUCGUACUGGACAUAGGUCACCUUUGCUAACCUCUUACAGAAAUUCUAAACUUUGUGAGAGGAAAUGCAGAAAUGUGAGAGAAGAACAAGGAGCUAUGUGAAGAAGAGAGAUGGAAAUGGAUUGAGACUGUUGAAAUAGGAGAAAAUAUCUUGGUUUUGACAUCAUUUCCAAAGAAUCAUAGUUAUCAAAUAAAAAAUUUCACAAUUAUCCAAAAUUAUAAUAAAAAUUCAGUGGCUGGCAAAAUGGCUGAAUAGGAUCAGCUCUGGUGUGCAGCUCCCAGUGAGAUCCACACAGAAGAUGAGUAAUUUCUGCAUUUCCAACUGAGGUACUUGGCUCAUCUCAUUGGGACUGGCUAGACAGUGAGUGAAACCCAUGGAGGGCAAGCUGAAGCAGGGUGGGACAUUGCCUUACCUGGGAAGUGCAAGGGGUCAGGGAACUCCCUCCCCUAGCCAAGGGAAGCCAUGAAGGACUCUGACAUGAAGACUGGUGCACUCCAGCCCAGAUACUACGCUUUUCCCAUGGUCUAUGCAACCCACAGACCAGGAGAUUCCCUCGGGUGCCUAUGCCACCAGGGCCCUGAGUUUCAUAAAACUGGGCAGCCAUCCCGAGCUAGCUGCAGGAAUUUCUUUUCAUACCCCAGUGGUACCAGGAACAUUUAAGUCUGCUGAAGCUGCGCCCACAGCUGCCCCUUCCCCCAAGUGAUCUGUCCCAGGGAGAUGGGAGAUUUAUCUGUAAGCCCCUGAUUGGGGCUGCUGCCUUUCUUUCAGAGAUGCCCUGCCCAGAGAGGAGUCUAGAGAGGCAAUCUGGCUACAGCAGUUUUGAGGCGCUGCAGUGGUAUCCACCCAGUCUGAACUUCCAAGCAGUUUUGUUUACACUGUGAGGGGAAAACUGCCUACUCAAGCCUCAGUAAUGGCAAAUGCUCCUCCUGGCAGCAAGUUUGAGCAUCCCAGGUCGACUUCAGACUGCUGUGCUGGCAGCGAGAAUUUCAAGCCAGUGGAUAUAAGCUUGCCAGUGAGAUAGAACCGUUCAGUCCCCUGGAAAGGGGGCUCAAGCUAGGGAGCCAAGUGGCCUAGCUCAGCGGAUCCCACUCCCAUGGAUCCCAGCAAGCUAAGAUCCACUGGCUUGAAAUUCUUGCUGCCAGCACAGCAGUCUGAAGUUGACCUGGGAUGCUCAAGCUUGCUGUGGGGAGGACCAUUUGCCAUUACUGAGGCUUGAGUAGGUGGUUUUCCCCUCACAGUGUAAACAAAACUGCUAGGAAGUUUGGACUGGGUGGAGCCCACCGCAGCGCCUCAAAGCUGCUGUAGCCCGACUGCCUCUCUAGACUCCUCACUGGCAGGGCAUCUCUGAAAGGAAGGCAGCAGCCCCAGUCAGGGGCUUUUAGAUAAAACUCCCAUCUCUCUGGGACAGAGCACCUGGGGGAAGGGGCGGCUGUGGGCUCAGCUUCAGCAGACUUAAACGUUCCUGCUUGGUGGCUCUUAAGAGAGGAGUGGAUCUCUCAGCACAGCGCUCCAGCUUUGCUAAGGGAUAGACUGCCUCCUCAAGUGGGUCCCUGACCCCCACGCCUCCUGACUGGGAGACACCUCCCAGCAGGAGUUGACAGACACCUCAUACAGGAGAGCUCCAGCUGGCAUCUGGCAGGGGCCCCUCUGGGAUGAAUUUUCCAGAGGAAGGAACAGGCAGCAAUCUUUGCUGUUUUGUAGCCUCUGCUGGUGAUACCCAGGCAAACAGGAGCCAGAGUGGACCUCCAGGAAUCUCCAGAAGACCUGCAGCAGAGAGGCCCGACUGUUAGAAGGAAAAAUAACAAACAGAAAGGAAUAGCAUCAACAUUAACAAAAAAGGAUGUCCACACAGAAACCCCAUCCAAAAGUCACCAACAUCAAAGACCAAAGGUAGAUAAAUCCACGAAGAUGAGGAAAAACCAGUGUAAAAAGGCUGAAAAUUCCGAAAACCAGAACGUCUUUUCUCUUCCAAAGGAUCACAACUUCUUGCCAGCAAGGGAACAAAACUGGAUGGAGAAUGAUUUUGGCUAACAGACAGAAGUAGGUUUCAGAAGGUGGGUAAUAACAAACUCCUCUGAGCUAAUGGAGCAUGUUCUAAUCCAAUGGAAAAAAGCUAUGAACCUUGAUAAAAGGUUAGAGGAAUUGUUAACUAGAAUAACCAGUUUAGAGAAGAACAUAAAUGACCUGAUGGAGCUGAAAAACACAGCAUGAGAACUUCGUGAAGCAUAUACAAGUAUUAAUAGCUGAAUCGAUCGAGCGGAAGAAAGGAUAUCAGAAUUGAAGAUCAACUUAAUGAAAUAAAACAUGAAGCCAAGAUUAGAGAAAAAAGAAUGAAAAGGAACAAACAAAGCUACAAGAAAUAUGGGACUAUGUGAAAAGACCAAACCUGUUUGAUUGGUGUGCCUGAAAGUGACAGGGAGAAUGAAACCAAAUUGGAAAACACUCUUCAGGAUAUUAUCCAGGAGAAGUUCCCCAGUCUAGCAAGAUGGGCCAACAUUCAAAUUCAGGAAAUACAGAGAACACCACAAAGAUACUCUUCGAGAAGAGCAACCCCAAGACACAUAAUCGUCAGAUUCACCAAGGUUAAAAUGGAGGAAAACAUGUUAAAGGCAGCCAAAAUAAAGGUCUGGUUACCCACAAAGGGAAGCCCAUCAAACUAACAGUGGAUCUCUUGGCAGAAACCCUACAAGCCAGAAGAGAGUGGGGGCCAAUAUUCAACAUUCUCAAAGAAAAGGAUGUUCAACCCAGAAUUUUUUAUCCAGUCAAACUAAGCUUCAUAAAUGAAGGAGAAAUAAAACCCUUUACAGACAAGCAAAUGCUGAGAGAUUUUGUCACCAGAUGUGCCUUACAGGAGCUCUUGAAGGAAGCACUAAAUAUGGAAAGGAAAAACCAGUACUAGCCACUGCACAAACAUACCAAAUUGUAAAGACAAUCGACACUGAAGAAACUGCAUCAACUAACGGGUAAAAUAACCAGCUAGCAUCAUAAUGACAGCAUCAGAUUCACACAUAAUCAUAUUAACCUUAAAUGUAAAGGGGCUAAAUGCCCCAAUUAAAAGACACAGAUGGCAAAUUGGAUAGAACCAAGAGCCAUCAGUAUGCUGUAUUCAGGAGACCCAUCUCAUGUGCAAAGACACAAAUAGGCCCAAAAUAAAGGGAUGGAGGAAUAUUUAAACAAAACAAAUGGAAAGCAAAAAACAAAAAGAAAACAAAAAAGCAGGGGUUGCAAUUCUAGUCUCUGGUAAAACAGACUUUAAACCAACAAAGAUCAAAAAAGAAAAAGAAGGGCAUUAUGUAAUAGUAAAGGGAUCAAUGCAACAAGAAGAGCUAACUAUCCUAAAUAUAUAUGCAUCCAAUACAGAAGAAUCCAGAUUCAUAAAGCAAGUUCUUAGAGACCUACAAAGAGACUUAGAGUCCCACACAAUAAUAGUGGGAGACCUAACACCCCACUGUCAAUGUUAGACAGAUCAACAAGACAGAAAAUUAAUAAGGAUAUUCAGGACUUGAACUCAACUCUGGAUCAAGCAGAAGUAAUAGAUAUCUACAGAACUCUCCACCCCAAAUCAACAGAAUAUACAUUCUUCUCUGCACCACAUAGCACUUACUCUAAAAUUGACCACAUAUUUGGAAGUAAAAUAUUCCUCAGCAAAUGCAAAAGAACUAAAUGAUAACACAGUCUCUCAGACCACAGUGCAAUCUAAUUAGAACUCAGGAUUAAGAAACUCACUCAAAACUGCACAACUACAUGGAAACUGAACAACUGCUCCUGAAUGACUACUGGGUUAAUAAUGAAAUUAAGGCAGAAAUAAAUAACAGUUCUUUGAAACCAAUAAGAACAAAGACACAAUGAUGCAGAAUGUUUGGGACACAGCUAAAGCAGUGUUUAGAGAGAAAUUUAUAGCACUAAAUGGGAAAGAUCUAAAGUUGACACCCUAACAUCACAAUUACAAGAACUAGAGAAACAAGAGCAAACAAAUUCAAAAGCUAGCAGAAGACAAGAAAUAACUAAGAUGAGAGCAGAACUGAAGGAGAUAGAGACACGAAAAACUUCAAAAAUCAAUGAAUCCAAGAGGUGUUUUUUUUAAAGAUUAACAAAAUAGAUAGACUGCUAGCCAGACUAAUAAAGAAGAAAAGAGAGAAGAAUCAAAUAGAUGCAAUAAAAAAUGAUAAAGGGGAUAUCACCACUGAUCCCACAGAAAUACAAACUACUAUCAGAGAAUACUAUAAAUACCUCUACACAAAUAAACUAGAAAAUCUAGAAGAAAUGGAUAAAUUCCUGGACACAUACACCCUCCCAAGACUAAACCAGGAAGAAGUCGAAUCCCUGAAUAGACCAAUAACAAGUUCUGAAACAGAGGUAGUAAUUAAUAGCCUUCCAACCAAAAUAAAUCCCAGGACCAGAAGGAUUCAGAGCCGAAUUCUACCAGAGAUACAAAGAGGAGCUGGUACCAUUCCUUCUGAAACUAUUCCAAACAACAGAAAAAGACGACUCAUCCCUAACUCAUUUUAUGAGGCCAUCAUCAUCCUGAUACCAAAACCUGGCAGAGACACAACAAAACAAGAAAAUUUCAAGCCAAUAUCCCUGAUGAACAUCAAUGAGAAAAUCCUCAAUAAAAUACUGGCAAACCGAAUCCAGCAGCAUAUCAAAAAGCUUAUCCACCAUGAUCAAGUCGGCUUCAUCCCUGAGAUGUGAGAGUGUUUCAACAUACUCAGAUUAAUAAAUGUAAUCCAUCACAUAAACAGAAGCAAUGACAAAAACCACAUGAUUAUCUCAAUAAAUGGAGAAAAAGCCUUCGAUAAAAUUCAACACCCCUUCAUGCUAAAAACUCUGAAUAAACUCGGUUUUGAUGGAAUGUAUCUCAAAAUAAUAAGAGCUAUUUAUGACAAACCCACAGCCAAUAUCAUACUGAAUGGGCAAAAGCUGGAAGCAUUCCCUUUGAAAACCAGCAGAAGACAAGGAUGCCCUCUCUCACCACUCCUAUUCAACAUAGUAUUGAAAGUUCUGGCCAGGGCAAUCAGGCAAGAGAGAGAAAUAAAGGAUAUUCAAAUAGGAAGAGAGGAAGUAAAAUUGUCUCUCUUUGCAGAUGCCAUGACUGUUCAUUUAGAAAACCCCAUUGUCUCAGCCCAAAAUCUCCUUAAGCUGAUAAGCAACUUCAGCAAAACUUCACAAAAUCAAUGUGCAAAAAUCACAAGCAUUCCUAUACACCAAUAAUAGACAAACACAGAGCCAAAUCAUGAGUGAACUCCCAUUCACUAUUGCUACAAAGAGAAUAAAAUAUCUAGGAAUGCACCUUACCAGGGAUGUGAAGGACCUCUUCAAGGAGAACUACAAAACACUGCUCAAGGAAAUAAGAGAGGACACAAACAAAUGGAAUGUUAUCCCCAUCAAGCUACCAUUGACUUUCUUCACAGAAAUUGAAAAAACUACUUCAAAUUUCAUAUGGAAUCAAAAAAGAGCCUGCAUAGCCACGACAAUCCUAAGCAAAAAGAACAAAGCUGGAGGCAUCACACUACCUGACCUGAAACUAUACUACAAGGCUACAGUAACCAAAACAGCAUGGUACUGGUACUAAAACAGAUAUGUGGACCAAUGGAACAGAGCAGAGGUCUCAGAAAUAACACCACACAUCUACAAUCAUAUGAUCUUUGACAAACCUGACAAAAGCAAACUAUGGGGAAAGGAUUUCCUAUUUAAUAAUUGGUGUUGGGAAAACUGGCUAGCCAUAUGCAGAAAACUGAAAGUGGACCCCUUCCUUACACUUUAUACAAAAAUUAACUCAAGAUGGAUUAAAGACUUAAACGUAAGACCUAAAACCAUAAACCCUAGAAGAAAACCUAGGCAAUACCAUUCAGGACAUAGGCACGGGCAAAGACUUCAUGACUAAAACACCAAAAUCAAUGGCAACAAAAGCCAAAAUUGACAAAUGGGGUCUAAUUAAACUAAAGAGCUCCUGCACAGCAAAAGAAACUAUCAUCAGGGUGAACAAGCAACCUACAGAAUGGGAGAAAAUUUUUGCAAUCUAUUCAUCUGACAAAGGGCUAAUAUCCAGAAUCUACAAAAAAUUUAAACAGAUUUACAAGAAUGAAACAACCCCAUCAAAAAGUGGGUGAAGGAUAUUAACAGACACUUCUCAAAAGAAGACAUUUAUGUGGCCAACAAACAUUUGAAAAAAAGCUCAUCAUCACUGGUCAUUAGAGAAAUGCAAAUCAAAACCACAAUGAGAUACCAUCGCACUCCAGUUAGAAUGGCGAUCAUUAAAAAGUCAGGAAACAACAGAUGCUGCAGAGGAUGUGGAGAAAUAGAAACACUUUUACACUGUUGGUGGGAGUGUAAUUAGUUCAACCAUUGUGGCAGACAGUGUGGCGAUUCCUCAAGGAUCUAGAACCAGAAAUAUCAUUUGACCCAGCAAUUUCAUUACUGGGUAUAUACCUAAAGGAUUAUAGUCAUUCUACUAUAAAGACCCAUGCGCGCGCACACACACACACACACACACACACACACACAUAUAUUUUGAUAAAAAGUAAACUUUAAUGUCGAAAAUGCAAACUUGGGGAGUGCAGAAGUAUCACACGCAAGGCUGUCACUUCACACUUGGAGAGUUUCACAGCGCCCAGGCAGAGGUGCUCCUUACAUCCCAGAUGAUGCGGGGGCCGGGCAGAGCCGCUCCUCACUUCCCAGAGGGUGGGCGAUGGGCAGAGGUGCUCCUCACUUCCCAGAUGGUGGGCAGCUGGGCAGAAGCACUCCUCACUUCCUAGACAGGGCAGUGGCCAGGCAGAGGGGCUCCUCACUUCCCAGUCAGUUGGGUGGCCAGACAGAGGCGCUCCUCACUUUCCAGACAGGGCGGCAGCCAGAGAGAGGUGCUCCUCACUUGCCAGAUGGGGCAGCAGCCAGGCAGAGGCACUCCUCAUUUGCUAGAUGGUGGGGCCGCCGGGCAGAGGGGCAUUUCACUUCCCAGACAGGGCAGCAGCCAGGUAGAGGAGGCACACGUAUUUUUAUUGCCGCACUGUUCACAAUAGCAAAGACUUGGAGCCAAUCCAAAUGCCAAUCAAUGAUAGACUGGAUAAAGAAAAUGUGGCACAUAUACACCAUGGAACACUAUGCAGCCAUAAAAAAGCAUGACUUCAUGUCCUUUGCAGGGACAUGGAUGAAGCUGGAAACCAUCAUUCUCAGCAAACUAACACAGGAACAGAAAACCAAACACCACAUGUUCUCACUCAUAAGUGAGAGCUGAACAAUGAGAACACAUGGAUACAGGGAGGGGGCCAUCACACACUGGGGCCUGUUGGUGGGUAGGGGGCGAGAGGAGGGAUAGCAUUAGGAGAAAUACCUAAUGUAGAUGAUGGGUUGAUGGGUACAGCAAACCAAGAUGACAUGUGUAUACCUAUGUAACAAACCUGCACGUUCUGCACAUGUAUCCCAGAACUUAAAUUAUAAUAAACUAAAUAAAUAAAAAUUCUGAUAUUUUUAAUCCAAGAGGGGUAAAGAUGGGAAAAUAAGAAGACAAAUACAGUCAUGCUCUGCAUAAUGAGGUUUCAUUCAACAAUGGAGCACAUAUACAAUGGUGGUCCCAUAAGAUUACAAUAUCAAGUUGGUGCAAACAUAAUUGUAGUUUUUGCAAUUACUUUUAAUAGCAAAAACCACAAUUACAUUCGCAUGAACCUAAUAAAAUAUUUUUACUGUAACAUUUCUAUGGUUAGAUAUAUUUGUAUACACAAAUAGUUGCCACUGUGUUGCAAUUGCCUACAGUAUUCAGCACAGUAACAUGUUGUACCAAUUUGUAGUGUGUAGUAGACUAUACCAUCUAGGUGUGUGUAAUUACAAUCACUCUAUGAUGUUUGCACAACCGCAAAAUCACCUAAUAAUGUAUUUCUCAGAUUGUAUCACAUCAUGAAGUAAUGUAUGACUAUAAUCAUAUAUAUGAUGGUGGCAAGGGAACACAAUCACUAUGUCAUCUCCAGAUGCUUUGAGCCAAUAGUUUUUCUUGUUUCUUUUUCUAUGUCAACAAAAAAUUGUGAAGUUUUAAAUAAUUUCUCAAGAUUAAUAGUAAUAACAUAUUUCACAAUUUAUUGAGCUGACUUCAUGUACUUUAAAAAUUUCUCUCAUAUUUUCAACAACUGCAACUUUCGGACUUCUAGAAAGCUCAAAGAGAUGAACAGUCCAUGUACUGACCUGUUCCUGAUUUCUACAGCCUCACCUCUGCCACCACAUCUGCCUCUUACACAUCUCUAUGUUUUUGGUUUACAACUUGAUGUAAGAUGGUAGGUGGUGGGUCGAGUUCUGGGAGAUUCCUGAAAAAUGUAGCCUUAAUGAGAGAAAUCAACAUAUAUUCCAAAAAUUAGGGGUUUAGUAGUGAGGAAUGGGUGGUUUCAUCUUCAUUUGCCUUUCCUUGUAUAUUUUGUACACUUCUUAAAACUAAAAUUGUAAUACAACUGCAUUAAGGGUGAUUGGAAUUUAGGGACUGCAGAGGGGAAAAAGACAGCAUCUGGUUUGAUGUACUGUAAAUCUCAGGGAAUCUAACCAAUGGUAUGUUUAUUAAAAUUAUAAUCUGUACUUUUCCUAGAAGCGGUAGUUAAUGCAAGAAUUAAACAUUUGUAAAUAUUGCAUAGUGAAUUCAUUUUUGAAAAAGUUUGCUAUGAGUUCUUCACAGAAAUUAUAUGGGUAUCUAACUCAGGAUGUUCCUGCAGCCUAAAGCAGUAUACCGAAUCCUAAGUCUACACUAAAAUUUGAAGUGAAUGUCUAGAUCCAUCCUUAGGGUAGGGGCA